This 460-nucleotide ribosomal RNA is filed under the name uncultured bacterium. RNAcentral describes it as "partial 16S ribosomal RNA". It matches the Rfam family "Bacterial small subunit ribosomal RNA", at positions 338 to 795 of the family's 1533-position model. The record is from RNAcentral.
CCUACGGGAGGCAGCAGUGAGGAAUAUUGGUCAAUGGACGAGAGUCUGAACCAGCCAAGUAGCGUGAAGGAUGACUGCCCUAUGGGUUGUAAACUUCUUUUAUAUGGGAAUAAAACAGACUAUGCAUACCCUCUUGUAUGUACCAUAUGAAUAAGGAUCGGCUAACUCCGUGCCAGCAGCCGCGGUAAUACGGAGGAUCCGAGCGUUAUCCGGAUUUAUUGGGUUUAAAGGGAGCGUAGGUGGAUUGUUAAGUCAGUUGUGAAAGUUUGAGGCUCAACCGUAAAAUUGCAGUUGAAACUGGCAGUCUUGAGUACAGUAGAGGUGGGCGGAAUUCGUGGUGUAGCGGUGAAAUGCUUAGAUAUCACGAAGAACUCCGAUUGCGAAGGCAGAUCACUGGACUGCAACUGACACUGAGGCUCGAAAGUGUGGGUAGCAAACAGGAUUAGAUACCCCUGUAGUC